This 425-nucleotide ribosomal RNA is filed under the name uncultured bacterium. Its description in RNAcentral is "bacterial SSU rRNA". It matches the Rfam family "Bacterial small subunit ribosomal RNA", at positions 356 to 773 of the family's 1533-position model. The record is from RNAcentral.
AGGGAAUUUUCCACAAUGGACGAAAGUCUGAUGGAGCAACGCCGCGUGAACGAUGAAGGUCUUCGGAUUGUAAAGUUCUGUUGUCAGGGACGAACAAGUACCGUUCGAACAGGGCGGUACCUUGACGGUACCUGACGAGAAAGCCACGGCUAACUACGUGCCAGCAGCCGCGGUAAUACGUAGGUGGCAAGCGUUGUCCGGAAUUAUUGGGCGUAAAGCGCGCGCAGGCGGCUAUGUAAGUCUGGUGGUAAAGCCCGGGGCUCAACCCCGGUUCGCAUUGGAAACUGCGUAGCUUGAGUGCAGAAGAGGAAAGCGGUAUUCCACGUGUAGCGGUGAAAUGCGUAGAGAUGUGGAGGAACACCAGUGGCGAAGGCGGCUUUCUGGUCUGUAACUGACGCUGAGGCGCGAAAGCGUGGGGAGCAAAC